Lemur catta (Ring-tailed lemur) is the source of this 1781-nucleotide long non-coding RNA. RefSeq lists it as uncharacterized. The transcript has 3 exons. The record is from RefSeq and is a predicted model, not a curated record. Lineage: Eukaryota; Metazoa; Chordata; Mammalia; Primates; Lemuridae.
CAGCGCGCGGCAAGAGCACCCCCGCGCGGCCGCCUCGCCCCCCGGCCCGGGACGGCUCUGCCCGGGGCCCGGGGUCCGGGGUCCGGGGGUCGCUUAUGUCCCGUCGCCCUCGGCGACCGGAGAGACUAUCAAGCGUGUUUCCUCGCGUUUUACGGGGAAACUGAUGCCCGUGCUCCAGACCCUACCGCCCAACUCCAGAGACAUUCUCCAGAGGUGCCAGCUCCCGGGCUGGACACUUGUGCCACCUCUGAGCCCAGGACAAACGGGGGCAAGGGUAGAGUGUCAACAGCCCCAGCCCUAGCCGCGGGCCACCCCUCGCGGCCGGGCCCGGGAGCCCUGUGGCACACGUGGGUCGGGCCCGGCUCAUCCCAGCCGUGGUCCCGGGUCGUCUUCUCCACGUGGAAGCAACAGCGCACUGGAGCCGGCCUAGAGGACUCCACCCCCGGCGUGUCACUGCGAGUCGUACGGUGAAAGUGUAGGUGUCCCUGGCGCUGCACCUCGCACUCGAGGCUCGAGGGGGCUCAUCUGUGGCUCCUUCAGUCCUCUCUUAUUCAUUCAUUCAUUCAUUCAACACAUUAUUGAGUAACGACCAUUAGCCUGAAUGCUGGAAAUGGAAAAAUGAGUGAAAUAUAAUCCUACCCCAGGAAGCUCAUAGGCUAAUAAAUAAUGAUUUGGGAUAAAUAUAUGGAAGAAAUUGUCAUUAUUCAUCAAUGUUUAGGAACAGUCCCAAAGAUGGUUUAUAAGAAAAAGAAACAUUACAAAUAUAUGAGGAAGUUUCUGACUUAACUUCCUGCUGAAAUUCCUGGGAAGACGGAGACGAAGAUGAAGGCUCACGUACCCCUCGUAUCCUGGAAGCAAUGAAUUGUAGUGGUUCAGAGCUUGGACAUCUUGUGGUCCUGGAUAAGAAUGUUGACUCAGCCACAGUAGGAAGCUGUGGACCUCGGGAAAAUUACCUACCGACUUUGUGCCUCUGUUUCCCGAUCUGUAAAAUGGGGAUUCCAAUGCCUGCCUGGGGGGGUUAACCUGAGGAUUUCCUACAAUGGUAUUUAUGUAUAACCGGGAUGACUUGCUUCACAAAACCCACGUGCAAAAAAGAGCACAUUUCUUGAUUACUCUGAAUGUUAUAUAUAAUAUAACAAAGUCUGGAUCUGAGCCCUCCACUUUCCGAGGACUGCAAGAAGCUUAGUAUCAGUUGGCGUGUGCAGCUCACAAAAACUGGGGACAGGCCCUUUGUUCUUCGACUCUGUGGUCACUGCACUCAGCACUGCCCCUGCUGCAGAGCAGCCUCUGUGGAGAUCGAGUGGUCACCACCCUCUGGAGCUGCUGCUCACGGUGGGCUUUGGUGACACCAGCUUAGCAGCCCUGAUGUGAGGUUCACGCACCCCCAUAGUGAAGCCCCUUCUAGAAUGUCACACUUGGGCAGGGUGUCGGUGUCUGUCACCUGCAGAAACUUCAGUCCCACAGCUCACAGAUCCUGGGGAUUCACCCCCUUUCUGGGCUGGAUCUUUCUGCCAACCCACAGAAACACCAGGCUCCGUCCCCUCCUUGGACAGUCAUGGCCGCUUCCUGAGAGGACCCAGAACCCCCAAACCAAGGCUCGUAUGGAGGCAAUUUCUUUAGAGGUUCCUGGAACACAAAGGAGCUGUCAGCACUUCUUUGGGGCUAAAGAGCCAAGACCUUAGAAAACAAAGACCUGUCUUUUCCUCCAGUGGAAAGUGUUGGAGUGUAUGAGAAUGCAACACAAUUCACAUGCUGACAUAUUUGGAAACUAUUAAGCACAC